UUCGGUGGGGAUUAGUGGCGAACGGGUGAGUAACACGUGGGCAAUCUGCCCUGCACUCUGGGACAAGCCCUGGAAACGGGGUCUAAUACCGGAUAUGAGUCUCCAAGGCAUCUUGGAGACUGUAAAGCUCCGGCGGUGCAGGAUGAGCCCGCGGCCUAUCAGCUUGUUGGUGAGGUAAUGGCUCACCAAGGCGACGACGGGUAGCCGGCCUGAGAGGGCGACCGGCCACACUGGGACUGAGACACGGCCCAGACUCCUACGGGAGGCAGCAGUGGGGAAUAUUGCACAAUGGGCGAAAGCCUGAUGCAGCGACGCCGCGUGAGGGAUGACGGCCUUCGGGUUGUAAACCUCUUUCAGCAGGGAAGAAGCGAAAGUGACGGUACCUGCAGAAGAAGCGCCGGCUAACUACGUGCCAGCAGCCGCGGUAAUACGUAGGGCGCGAGCGUUGUCCGGAAUUAUUGGGCGUAAAGAGCUCGUAGGCGGCUUGUCACGUCGGUUGUGAAAGCCCGGGGCUUAACCCCGGGUCUGCAGUCGAUACGGGCAGGCUAGAGUUCGGUAGGGGAGAUCGGAAUUCCUGGUGUAGCGGUGAAAUGCGCAGAUAUCAGGAGGAACACCGGUGGCGAAGGCGGAUCUCUGGGCCGAUACUGACGCUGAGGAGCGAAAGCGUGGGGAGCGAACAGGAUU
This 684-nucleotide ribosomal RNA is filed under the name Streptomyces sp. RNAcentral's name for it is "bacterial SSU rRNA". It matches the Rfam family "Bacterial small subunit ribosomal RNA", at positions 81 to 779 of the family's 1533-position model. The record is from RNAcentral. Lineage: Bacteria; Bacillati; Actinomycetota; Actinomycetes; Kitasatosporales; Streptomycetaceae.